UAUAAUUAUUUAUAGUGUAACCUGGUCAGUGAAUAAUAUUUAAACACACGCUUUAAAAUGAGAGUGAUAAUGUAGCAUAAUAAUUUGACAUUUAAUUGGUGUAUUGUAUGAAUGGUUGAAUGAUUUUUUAAUUGUCUCAAAAAUAUUUUUAUAAAAAUUUGAAUAUUUAUGCAAAUAUAAAUAUAGUAAUUUAAGACGAAAAGACCCCAUAAACCUUUAUAUAUUAAUAACUAUAUUUAGCUGGGACGGCUACUUUUUAUAAAAAACAAAAGUAAAGAUAUUUUUUUUCAAAUAUGAAUGUAAAGACCAUUUCUUUUAAAAAAGAAAUAAUAAUAGAUAAAAGGUACUUUGGGGGUAACAGCGUAAUUUAAAUUUAAAGAUGUUAUUUAUAUUUAAGCUUGCGACCUCGAUGUUGAAUUAAGAUUACCUAAAAAAAAUGUAGAAGUUGAUUAUGGUUGGACUGUUCGUCCAUUAAUAUCUUACAUGAUUUGAG
This 493-nucleotide ribosomal RNA is filed under the name Solmissus incisa. RNAcentral describes it as "partial 16S ribosomal RNA". It matches the Rfam family "Archaeal large subunit ribosomal RNA", at positions 1933 to 2680 of the family's 2987-position model. The record is from RNAcentral. Lineage: Eukaryota; Metazoa; Cnidaria; Hydrozoa; Narcomedusae; Cuninidae.